UACGGAGGGUGCUAGCGUUGUUCGGAAUCACUGGGCGUAAAGCGCGUGUAGGCGGCCCACUAAGUCUGAUGUGAAAGCCCGGGGCUCACCCCCGGAAGUGCAUUGGAAACUGGUGGACUCGAGUCCCGGAGAGGAGGGUGGAAUUCCUGGUGUAGCGGUGAAAUGCGUAGAUAUCAGGAGGAACACCGGUGGCGAAAGCGGCUUCCUGGUCCAGCACCGACGUUCAGGCACGAAAGCGUGGGGAGCAAACAGG
RNAcentral lists this ribosomal RNA (253 nucleotides) under uncultured bacterium. RNAcentral's name for it is "partial 16S ribosomal RNA". It matches the Rfam family "Bacterial small subunit ribosomal RNA", at positions 524 to 776 of the family's 1533-position model. The record is from RNAcentral.